CCCUUAGAUGUUCUGGGCCGCACGCGUGCUACACUGAGUGGAUCAGCGGGUCAGGUUGCGCGAAAGUGUUUCCUAAUCUUUAAAUCCACUCGUGAUGGGGAUUGACGGUUGCAAUUUUCCGUCAUGAACGAGGAAUACCUUGUAAGCGCGGGUCAUCAUCCCGCGCUGAAUACGUCCCUGCCCUUUGUACACACCGCCCGUCGCUCCUACCGAUUGAGUGGUCCGGUGAGGCUUUGGGAUCUGAGCGGAAAGAGCGUUUCGCUGUUUCUGCCCGGAAAACUCAGUCGAACCUUAUCAUUUAGAGGAAGGAGAAGGCGUAACA
This 322-nucleotide ribosomal RNA is filed under the name uncultured eukaryote. Its description in RNAcentral is "partial 18S ribosomal RNA". It matches the Rfam family "Eukaryotic small subunit ribosomal RNA", at positions 1470 to 1796 of the family's 1831-position model. The record is from RNAcentral.